Molecule: long non-coding RNA, 653 nt
Organism: Selaginella moellendorffii
Lineage: Eukaryota; Viridiplantae; Streptophyta; Lycopodiopsida; Selaginellales; Selaginellaceae
Exons: 4
Source: RefSeq, a predicted model, not a curated record
GGUCGCAAGCGCAGCAUCGCCUCUCGGAUUGCAGAGGCCAUGGCGUCGAGGGGUAAUGAGCCUCUUAAUGCAGCUCAGCGGCCGCAGGAAAUCGUCCAAGAAAGUCGAGGGUUGAGAGAGUAAUUUUAGCACGGUUUUAGGCAGAUGAAGCAAGCCCAACGCUGGAGCUCCAUCUGCGGGAACAAAGAGACUAAAGUUGAGCCUUCGACGUUGACAGUCGAGAGAAUCUACAACCAUUCUCACGAGGUAAGAAAAAUCUAGGAACCAUUGAGAGACAGCGAACGUUGUCAUCGCGUUUGACACGGCCUCACCAAGUGCAGUGCUGGAGUUGGGCAUGAACAAGCCCGAGUUCACCGCCGUGGUUGUCAUAGCUGACAAGGGUGACACCCUCAAGGCCUCGUACUCGCACGUCGUGAGCCCGUUCACGAGGACCACCAUUGGAACCGAGAUAUCCCACAAGCUGUCCACCAAGGACACCGUCUCCAUCGGUGGCUGGACGCGCUGACGACGAUCAAGGCCCGGUUGAAACCAAGUCCGUUAUCUCGAUGUCGGGCGAAGUGGACACGAAGGCGCUCGACAAAAGCGCCAAGCUCGGCCUGGCGCUAACGCAUGUAAAUUCGACAGCUUAAAAUUUAAAUAAGUUCCUGUGACAA